CAUAAUUAUAAUUAUAAUUAAAAUACAAACAAAAUAAUAAAAAUCUACUUCAUACCCAGUAUAUUCAUCUUAAAAUGUGAUCUGAUAACCAGGAAAUUCAUACAAAAGGGAGUUAAAGUUCUGAACCAGAAAGACAAUCUUGUUCCAAAAGGAUUGAAACAUUUACUGAGAAAAAAAAAGAAACUCUGAUUACUGAAAAGAAAAGAUGAAGAAGAAGAAGAGAGAAUGAAAGAUGAAUCACCACCAUCCAUAGAGAACUUGAGUGUAUGUGUGUUUGAUCCACCUGAAACUCUUUCUGAGAGAGCCUUUCAUUUUGCCUUCUGCUGCAUAUAUUUUAUAGCCAGCAACUCUCUUCUUCCUCUGCAACUCAGGAUCAUUGAAGCUCCAACUUUUUGAUGGUUUAGAAGCUGCCCUUUUCACUUUCUUCACCUUCAUCUCCUUAGCACUGCUACCUAUCUGCUUUCCAUGACCAGAACAACCAUUAUUCGCACUGUGACAUCUCAGAUCCUUCAUGCUUUUUGGGGCCACCUUGUCUCCACAGUUGCUUUCAUCUCUGCAUGACUUCGAUCUGAACUCCAUCAUCAUGCCAACCACAAUGCCCCUAUACUGAGCAUUUUCAUGAUGCCACUGGAUUCACUACCACGUGCA
This 648-nucleotide small RNA is filed under the name Vigna angularis var. angularis. Its description in RNAcentral is "Non-protein coding transcript". The record is from RNAcentral. Lineage: Eukaryota; Viridiplantae; Streptophyta; Magnoliopsida; Fabales; Fabaceae.